Choloepus didactylus (southern two-toed sloth) is the source of this 1442-nucleotide long non-coding RNA. RefSeq lists it as uncharacterized. The record is from RefSeq and is a predicted model, not a curated record. The transcript is spliced from 3 exons. NCBI's taxonomy places the organism in Eukaryota, Metazoa, Chordata, Mammalia, Pilosa, Megalonychidae.
GCCAGAUAUCUGGUAAAUAAUUUCAUACACAUCAUCUCAUGAAGCCCUCACAACAGCCCUGUGAGGUAAGUGCCAUUGUUAUCCUCAUUUUAUAGAUGGGGAAGCUGAUACUCAGAAAACUAACAUGACUUGACAAAGUCAACCAGCUAGAAAACAUUAGAGCUAAAAUGUAAAACCAGCUCUUCUGAUUCCAAGGUCAAGGACUUAAAUUUAGAAAAUGGAAAGUCUCAAGUGAUUUCCUACUCUUCCUUCUCUCUCUGAGACUGUCACUCAGGUUUGGGUCAGGUUUGGGGACAUUUAGGGACUGAGGUCCAUAUACUGAAUUAAUGUUGUAGCAAAGGCUUGAGCAAUUAUUUGGUAAAUGCAACUCAGAUUUAUUCUGACUUCCCAAAAUGUACCACCAGGAGUGUCAGGCAACUCUCACAGUCCAAUUUCAACAAGCAGUUAUUCCAAUGUAUUUUUGACUAUGUAGACAACAGGUUCCUAACCAGGGUCUACAGAUUCCUUAGGGAUCCUCAGAGACUUCAAGAGAUUAGUGAGCCUCUUGAAACCAUGUUACAUUUUGUGGGUGGGAGAAAAUAUGAAUUUUUCAGAGGAGACGGUUCAUCUUUUUCAUUAAAUUCUCAAAGAGGUCUCCAGUGCACACAAGAUUAAAAAUAAUUAAUCUAGGUUUUAUCCAACAAGGUUUUGUUUUUAAAUUUUCCACCUAUGGCUUAAGGAGAGAACCAGAUAUGAGCAAGGAAUCAGGAAAUAAUAAUAACACUAAUACUUCAGUAAUUACUUUUUUCCUUUGUGCUGAUGGAGACAUAGAUCUGGCUUUGGUGAAACCAAAAAAAAAAAAAGAAACUCCAAUGAUUUGUACUGAGACCAAGAGGAUGCAUCUGUUUCCUGAAUAAACCAGUUCAAAUGAGCACCGCAUCAAAAGCUGCCUGUGCUGACUAUUUGCUUCCAAAGAAAGAUGAGCCUGCAACGUUCAAAGGGGAAAAAGAAGAGUGAGCUUGAGCAAGGGGAGAGAGAAAAUCUCUAGUUUGGCUUGGCACCAUUGGAUUUCCUCACAUGGUGCUGAAGAUCACUUAUAACAGGUUCACUCUGGCCACAUGUUGCAAAGAGGUUGAAAGAAGGCAUGGGUGGAAGCAGAAGGCUCUUGCAACAACUAAGUUUCUGCUAGGAACUUCCCCCUUUCCCUCUGGGAUUCCAUCUUUAGCUUUCUGUCACCACUCUCUGGCUUUGUACCCUAUGAAUCACUUCCUUCGGGUCACUUGAAUUUUUCUCCUGUAGGAGAAGCUAAUCUUCUUUAACAACUGAGUUAAAAAGACCUUCCUAUCCCCCCUACGAGGGACCCAACUCCCAGGGUUGUAAAUCUCCCUGGCAACGCAGAGUAUGACUCCCGGGGAUGAAUGUGGACCCGGCAUCGUGGGACUGAGAGUAUCUUCUUGACCAAA